Molecule: ribosomal RNA, 264 nt
Filed under: Triticum aestivum (bread wheat)
Lineage: Eukaryota; Viridiplantae; Streptophyta; Magnoliopsida; Poales; Poaceae
Description: partial small subunit ribosomal RNA
Source: RNAcentral
AUGAAUGGAUACUUUGAGAUAGAACAAGAAAAAGCAAAUUUGAUUAAUGCUACUUCUAUUAGUUUGGAACAAUUGGAAAAGUCUAAAAACGAAACCCUUUAUUUUGGAAAACAAAGGGCAAUGAACCAGGUCCGACAACGGGUUUUCCAACAGGCCGUACAAGGAGCUCUAGGAACUCUAAAUAGUUGUUUGAAUACCGAGUUACAUUUAUGUAUGAUUUGUGCUAAUAUUGGCAUUCUCAGGUCCCUGGAAUGGAAGAGAUAA